RNAcentral lists this ribosomal RNA (491 nucleotides) under uncultured Porphyromonas sp. Its description in RNAcentral is "partial 16S ribosomal RNA". Lineage: Bacteria; Pseudomonadati; Bacteroidota; Bacteroidia; Bacteroidales; Porphyromonadaceae. The record is from RNAcentral.
CACGGAGUUAGCCGAUGCUUAUUCAUACGGUACAUGCAGGGAGCCACACGUGGCUCUUGUUAUUCCCGUAUAAAAGAAGUUUACAAUCCAUAAGACAGUCAUCCUUCACGCGACUUGGCUGGUUCAGGCUCUCGCCCAUUGACCAAUAUUCCUCACUGCUGCCUCCCGUAGGAGUCUGGUCCGUGUCUCAGUACCAGUGUGGGGGUUCAACCUCUCAGUUCCCCUACCCAUCGUCGCCUUGGUGAGCCGUUACCUCACCAACUAGCUAAUGGGACGCAUGCCUAUCUCACAGCGAAUUUCAUUUCCUCUACUUUGGAUGCCCAAAGUGGAGUGUACGCGGUAUUAGUCCGUCUUUCGACGGGUUAUCCCCCUCUGUGAGGCAAGUUGCAUACGCGUUACGCACCCGUGCGCCGGUCGCCAUCAGUCUUAGCAAGCUAAGACCAUGCUGCCCCUCGACUUGCAUGUGUUAAGCCUAUCGCUAGCGUUCAUCC